Molecule: ribosomal RNA, 1435 nt
Filed under: Lactiplantibacillus plantarum
Lineage: Bacteria; Bacillati; Bacillota; Bacilli; Lactobacillales; Lactobacillaceae
Description: bacterial SSU rRNA
Rfam family: Bacterial small subunit ribosomal RNA
Source: RNAcentral
CACUCUGGUAUUGAUUGGUGCUUGCAUCAUGAUUUACAUUUGAGUGAGUGGCGAACUGGUGAGUAACACGUGGGAAACCUGCCCAGAAGCGGGGGAUAACACCUGGAAACAGAUGCUAAUACCGCAUAACAACUUGGACCGCAUGGUCCGAGUUUGAAAGAUGGCUUCGGCUAUCACUUUUGGAUGGUCCCGCGGCGUAUUAGCUAGAUGGUGGGGUAACGGCUCACCAUGGCAAUGAUACGUAGCCGACCUGAGAGGGUAAUCGGCCACAUUGGGACUGAGACACGGCCCAAACUCCUACGGGAGGCAGCAGUAGGGAAUCUUCCACAAUGGACGAAAGUCUGAUGGAGCAACGCCGCGUGAGUGAAGAAGGGUUUCGGCUCGUAAAACUCUGUUGUUAAAGAAGAACAUAUCUGAGAGUAACUGUUCAGGUAUUGACGGUAUUUAACCAGAAAGCCACGGCUAACUACGUGCCAGCAGCCGCGGUAAUACGUAGGUGGCAAGCGUUGUCCGGAUUUAUUGGGCGUAAAGCGAGCGCAGGCGGUUUUUUAAGUCUGAUGUGAAAGCCUUCGGCUCAACCGAAGAAGUGCAUCGGAAACUGGGAAACUUGAGUGCAGAAGAGGACAGUGGAACUCCAUGUGUAGCGGUGAAAUGCGUAGAUAUAUGGAAGAACACCAGUGGCGAAGGCGGCUGUCUGGUCUGUAACUGACGCUGAGGCUCGAAAGUAUGGGUAGCAAACAGGAUUAGAUACCCUGGUAGUCCAUACCGUAAACGAUGAAUGCUAAGUGUUGGAGGGUUUCCGCCCUUCAGUGCUGCAGCUAACGCAUUAAGCAUUCCGCCUGGGGAGUACGGCCGCAAGGCUGAAACUCAAAGGAAUUGACGGGGGCCCGCACAAGCGGUGGAGCAUGUGGUUUAAUUCGAAGCUACGCGAAGAACCUUACCAGGUCUUGACAUACUAUGCAAAUCUAAGAGAUUAGACGUUCCCUUCGGGGACAUGGAUACAGGUGGUGCAUGGUUGUCGUCAGCUCGUGUCGUGAGAUGUUGGGUUAAGUCCCGCAACGAGCGCAACCCUUAUUAUCAGUUGCCAGCAUUAAGUUGGGCACUCUGGUGAGACUGCCGGUGACAAACCGGAGGAAGGUGGGGAUGACGUCAAAUCAUCAUGCCCCUUAUGACCUGGGCUACACACGUGCUACAAUGGAUGGUACAACGAGUUGCGAACUCGCGAGAGUAAGCUAAUCUCUUAAAGCCAUUCUCAGUUCGGAUUGUAGGCUGCAACUCGCCUACAUGAAGUCGGAAUCGCUAGUAAUCGCGGAUCAGCAUGCCGCGGUGAAUACGUUCCCGGGCCUUGUACACACCGCCCGUCACACCAUGAGAGUUUGUAACACCCAAAGUCGGUGGGGUAACCUUUUAGGAACCAGCCGCCUAAUGGGGGCGA